GUGCCAGCAGCCGCGGUAAUACGGAGGGUGCAAGCGUUGUCCGGAAUCACUGGGUGUAAAGGGUGUGUAGGUGGGUCUGUAAGUCAGAGGUGAAAGCCUGCGGCUUAACCGUAGAAUUGCCUUUGAUACUGCAGAUCUUGAGUCCUGGAGAGGCCGCCGGAAUUCGUGGUGUAGCGGUGAAAUGCGUAGAUAUCACGAGGAACACCAGAGGCGUAGGCGGGUGGCUGGACAGGUACUGACACUGAGGCACGAAAGCGUGGGGAGCAAACAGGAUUAGAUACCCUGGUAGUCCACGCCGUAAACGAUGGAUGCUCGAUGCUGCGGCGUUUUUGCUGCAGUGUCCAAGCUAACGCAUUAAGCAUCCCACCUGGGGAGUACGCUCGCAAGAGUGAAACUCAAAGGAAUUGGCGGGG
This 413-nucleotide ribosomal RNA is filed under the name uncultured prokaryote. RNAcentral's name for it is "bacterial SSU rRNA". It matches the Rfam family "Bacterial small subunit ribosomal RNA", at positions 505 to 918 of the family's 1533-position model. The record is from RNAcentral.